This 736-nucleotide ribosomal RNA is filed under the name uncultured Fusobacterium sp. Its description in RNAcentral is "bacterial SSU rRNA". It matches the Rfam family "Bacterial small subunit ribosomal RNA", at positions 28 to 776 of the family's 1533-position model. The record is from RNAcentral. Lineage: Bacteria; Fusobacteriati; Fusobacteriota; Fusobacteriia; Fusobacteriales; Fusobacteriaceae.
GAUGAACGCUGACAGAAUGCUUAACACAUGCAAGUCUACUUGAAUUUGGGUUUUUUAACUUCGAUUUGGGUGGCGGACGGGUGAGUAACGCGUAAAGAACUUGCCUCACAGCUAGGGACAACAUUUGGAAACGAAUGCUAAUACCUGAUAUUAUGAUUAUAGGGCAUCCUAGAAUUAUGAAAGCUAUAUGCGCUGUGAGAGAGCUUUGCGUCCCAUUAGCUAGUUGGAGAGGUAACGGCUCACCAAGGCGAUGAUGGGUAGCCGGCCUGAGAGGGUGAACGGCCACAAGGGGACUGAGACACGGCCCUUACUCCUACGGGAGGCAGCAGUGGGGAAUAUUGGACAAUGGACCGAGAGUCUGAUCCAGCAAUUCUGUGUGCACGAUGACGUUUUUCGGAAUGUAAAGUGCUUUCAGUUGGGAAGAAAAGAAUGACGGUACCAACAGAAGAAGUGACGGCUAAAUACGUGCCAGCAGCCGCGGUAAUACGUAUGUCACGAGCGUUAUCCGGAUUUAUUGGGCGUAAAGCGCGUCUAGGUGGUUAUGUAAGUCUGAUGUGAAAAUGCAGGGCUCAACUCUGUAUUGCGUUGGAAACUGUGUAACUAGAGUACUGGAGAGGUAAGCGGAACUACAAGUGUAGAGGUGAAAUUCGUAGAUAUUUGUAGGAAUGCCGAUGGGGAAGCCAGCUUACUGGACAGAUACUGACGCUGAAGCGCGAAAGCGUGGGUAGAAAACAGG